GAGUUUGAUCUUGGCUCAGAUUGAACGCUGGCGGCAUGCCUUACACAUGCAAGUCGAACGGCAGCACGGGAGCUUGCUCCUGGUGGCGAGUGGCGAACGGGUGACGUUAAUGCAUCGGAACGUAUCCUGGAGUGGGGGAUAACGUAGCGAAAGUUACGCUAAUACCGCAGUAUUCUGUGAGCAGGAAAGCGGGGGACCUUCGGGCCUCGCGCUCUUGGAGCGGCCGAUGUCGGAUUAGCUAGUUGGUGAGGUAAAGGCUCACCAAGGCGACGAUCCGUAGCAGGUCUGAGAGGAUGAUCUGCCACACUGGAACUGAGACACGGUCCAGGCUCCUACGGGAGGCAGCAGUGGGGAAUUUUUGGACAAUGGGGGCAACCCUGAUCCAGCCAUGCCGCGUGAGUGAAGAAGGCCU
This 412-nucleotide ribosomal RNA is filed under the name bacterium enrichment culture clone ALO1_GLFRUDD03GPS8W. RNAcentral's name for it is "bacterial SSU rRNA". It matches the Rfam family "Bacterial small subunit ribosomal RNA", at positions 9 to 417 of the family's 1533-position model. The record is from RNAcentral.